Molecule: long non-coding RNA, 776 nt
Organism: Dreissena polymorpha
Lineage: Eukaryota; Metazoa; Mollusca; Bivalvia; Myida; Dreissenidae
Exons: 3
Source: RefSeq, a predicted model, not a curated record
GCACAAUUUCUACAUAUGCCACAGUUCCCCAGGUUGACGACGACGACGAUGCCGCUGACGAUCGCCCAAUGCCACUGCUAGAAGUGGGUGUCCCUAGUGAUGAGAGCGAGACGCUAUUCGAGAGGUCAAAGACAGAAGCGACACGCCGCCUGGUCGACUAUAUCAGCCGGCAGUGGGUCCACGGCGGGUCCUUUGAACCAAGUGACUGAUAUGUCUUCCGACAGGACGUCCGUACCAACAACGACCUUGAAGGUUACCACAACCGCCUGAAUGGGAAAGCCGGCAGCGGUGUUGGUUUCUACCGACUAGUUCCUCAUCUCAGACAGGAAUCUGAAAUGGUGAGGCUAUAUACUGGUUGAAGGAUCCACCGGAUCACAACAACGCGAUCGGCAAAAGUUCAGAAGUCUCUGGUUUCCCUCUGGGACAAGUACGAGGCGAGAGAGUGCACUACCUCUGAGUUCCUGGCCAAGGUCGGUCAGGCGUACGGCGUUGUGCUGGAUUAAUGAACAUCCAUUUUGUCAUGUUGUCUGUGUAUUGUUUGUAGUUUUUCUUGUACAUGUAUAUUUUAUUAUGUAGAUAUGUUGUAAAUUAUGUUGUAUUGUGUCACGUUGACUGUACAUUGUAUUUUUCUCGUGCAUGUAUUUUUGUAAUAAAGAAAAUAAAAAAGUUCAUUCAUAAUGUAGCACUCCAUUUUGAUUUAAUUGAAAAUAUAACUCACAUGUUAAACCAUAUUAUUAUGUAAUUUAAAUUAAUUGAAAAUAUGUAUAUUUUGUAAU